Molecule: ribosomal RNA, 250 nt
Filed under: Salmonella enterica subsp. enterica serovar Anatum
Lineage: Bacteria; Pseudomonadati; Pseudomonadota; Gammaproteobacteria; Enterobacterales; Enterobacteriaceae
Description: partial 23S ribosomal RNA
Rfam family: Bacterial large subunit ribosomal RNA
Source: RNAcentral
AACUAUAACGGUCCUAAGGUAGCGAAAUUCCUUGUCGGGUAAGUUCCGACCUGCACGAAUGGCGUAAUGAUGGCCAGGCUGUCUCCACCCGAGACUCAGUGAAAUUGAACUCGCUGUGAAGAUGCAGCUUACCCGGCGGCUUUUCAAUAAAUUGUUGGAUCGCGCUGUAGGACGUUUCAUGAUGCUGCACCAGGUUGACCAUCGGCUGUAGACUGCUCUCUCCCAGCCAGCGCUCCAUACGCUUAAACCA